This is a non-coding RNA of Saimiri boliviensis boliviensis (Bolivian squirrel monkey), 1635 nucleotides long. The record is from RefSeq and is a predicted model, not a curated record. Lineage: Eukaryota; Metazoa; Chordata; Mammalia; Primates; Cebidae.
GCCCGUGGCCUCUCCGAGGUCUUGGGGAGGUCCACCCUCCGUCCCCAGGCCUGGCUCCCCGAGAGCUCAGAAGAGUAGCUUCCGUGUGCUGAUCAUCCGUCCGGGUGCGUUUCUCAGUGCCGGGGGCCUUGGGUGGGGGCCAGGCCUCGACUAUGCAGAGGGGCCCGGUGGGCUACAUCCCCAUAGGCCCUGGCCCCUGGAAUGAGUCAGGGGCCAGGGGAGAAUCGAGCCAAUCAGGGCCGUCACUCAGCCCCCACCCCUGCCCUACUCCUAAGGGUAGAAAAUUCCAGGGUGCCACACCACUGACAGCUCAGCCGCUCGAGGCCCCCCCCGGCAGCUGCCUGCCCCAAACCCGUCCUGGAGCAGAAAGUGCCUUUAUCUCAGCCGUCCGCAGGCUGCUCGGCCAGAUGCGGGGACAGGCUAGAAUGAGGGAGGCGUCUUCAUCUCCCCGCCCCGCCACCACACCACCCCACCCAUAGGGCUGCAGGUGCUGCUGAUGUACUGGGAUCUGAUAGAGGAUUAAAAAGGAAGGAAAGACGACCCCCACCCCCUCGCCACCCAUUUUUGAAAAGGUCCAAGCGAGUGAGUCUGGUGGAGGAGCUGAGGGAGGGAGCCAUGGAAGGUGCCAGAAGGAAGGUUGGCAGCAGCACGUGUGGGCUGUGGCUUUGGGUGGUCAUAGUGGCCUGAGCUGCCCAGUGCCUGCCCCACCCAAGUGACCAGGGAAGUGUGUGUGCGUCCAUGUGUGUGUGUGUCUGUCCGUACGUACAGUGUCUGGUUUGGCCCAAGACUGGGCUGUGGUUACAUUAGUGCCCAGCCAGCCACCCCCACCACUCACCCCUCCUGGCCCAGGCCUUGCUGACUCUGUGACCUGGGUGGGUUGGAGGACUGGCGAGCCUGACUCCUUGUCCUACCUGGGCCUGGGCCCCUCCCACUAGAGCCCAUGGUAAUGACGGCCUAGGAAGGAGAAGUGGAGUCAGAGGUGCACAGUCCACAGUGAGCUGAAGAGCGAGGUUCAUGGCAGCAAGGCCUGGCCCCUCACCCUCCGUCCCCAGGAGGGGACUGUGGGGGCUCCCUUUGCGGUGCAUGGCUGACCAAGUCCCCUUCUGCUUCCUGUUCCCAGUCGCACUCCUGGGGAGAGGGAGGGGCCUGACGAGACUCCACAUGGGUGCGCCUAUCACUGGGUGCAUCUGCAGGUCCCAGGCUGGCUGCUUGCUGCCAGAAGAGGGGCAGUGGGAGUCGGGGCACUGGGCGUCUGACUCCCUCCGCAUCCAGGAGAGGAAGGACUCCCCACCACCCUCACUGGCGGGACAGUUUACUUGCCAACUUGCCAUGUUUUUGCCAAAACCAAGAUUUUGAAGGAAAUGAGUGGCACCAGGCCAUGUGGCCCUCCCAGCCUCAGCAUCACUUGGUGGCAGGUUGGGGUGGGGAGGGGGUGGGCAGCAGCAUCCCAGCCUUGAGAUGCUUCACUUUCCUUCUCUGUAACCAGACCUUGAAAAUUGUUCGUUUCAUCAGGCUCUGAUCCUCAACGGCCUUUUGCUACGUGCCUCCCAAGACAUUUGUCUCUUUUUUGUAUAAACUACAAAAUGUUGAAAAUGUAUUUCCUGAAAUAAAUGUUUCAAAUGCAGAAACCCAGAA